GACGAACGCUGGCGGCGUGCCUAAUACAUGCAAGUAGAACGCUGAAGGAGGAGCUUGCUUCUCUGGAUGAGUUGCGAACGGGUGAGUAACGCGUAGGUAACCUACCUGGUAGCGGGGGAUAACUAUUGGAAACGAUAGCUAAUACCGCAUAAGAGUAGAUGUUGCAUGACAUUUGCUUAAAAGGUGCAAUUGCAUCACUACCAGAUGGACCUGCGUUGUAUUAGCUAGUUGGUGAGGUAACGGCUCACCAAGGCAACGAUACAUAGCCGACCUGAGAGGGUGAUCGGCCACACUGGGACUGAGACACGGCCCAGACUCCUACGGGAGGCAGCAGUAGGGAAUCUUCGGCAAUGGACGGAAGUCUGACCGAGCAACGCCGCGUGAGUGAAGAAGGUUUUCGGAUCGUAAAGCUCUGUUGUAAGAGAAGAACGAGUGUGAGAGUGGAAAGUUCACACUGUGACGAUCUACCAGAAAG
RNAcentral lists this ribosomal RNA (475 nucleotides) under Streptococcus mitis. RNAcentral's name for it is "bacterial SSU rRNA". It matches the Rfam family "Bacterial small subunit ribosomal RNA", at positions 28 to 490 of the family's 1533-position model. The record is from RNAcentral. Lineage: Bacteria; Bacillati; Bacillota; Bacilli; Lactobacillales; Streptococcaceae.